AACAGCCGCGGUAAUUCCAGCUCCAAUAGCGUAUAUUAAAGUUGUUGCAGUUAAAAAGCUCGUAGUUGAAUUUCGGGAUCAAUGCGUCGGUCGUGCUUUCGGGUACGUACUGGUGUCAUUGGUUUCUCCUUUCUGACGAGCCGUGAUGUCAUUAAUUUGGUGUUACGGGUAGUUAGGACUGUUACUUUGAAAAAAUUAGAGUGUUUAAAGCAGGCAUUAGCUUGAAUACAUUAGCAUGGAAUAAUGAAAUAGGACGUUCGAUCCUAUUUUGUUGGUUUCUAGGAUCAACGUAAUGAUUAAUAGGGAUAGUUGGGGGCAUUAGUAUUCAAUUGUCAGAGGUGAAAUUCUUGGAUUUAUUGAAGACUAACUACUGCGAA
This 377-nucleotide small RNA is filed under the name uncultured Glomus. Its description in RNAcentral is "SSU rRNA". It matches the Rfam family "Eukaryotic small subunit ribosomal RNA", at positions 569 to 949 of the family's 1831-position model. The record is from RNAcentral. Lineage: Eukaryota; Fungi; Glomeromycota; Glomeromycetes; Glomerales; Glomeraceae.